AUGAUCCGCAAGAUAUUUCUUAUCAGCUCCCAAACAUCCAAAGGGUACGUCUCCAAGAGCUGCCACAACUCCAGCACUUCCACGAGAAUGACGCCACUAUCACAGCAUCAGCGUGGAACGAGCUCCACAUCCGAGGGUGCUGGAGUCUCCGACGCCUCCCGCGCCUACAAGGACGCCAGCCGGAGAUGGUGA
RNAcentral lists this ribosomal RNA (192 nucleotides) under Triticum aestivum (bread wheat). RNAcentral's name for it is "partial small subunit ribosomal RNA". The record is from RNAcentral. Lineage: Eukaryota; Viridiplantae; Streptophyta; Magnoliopsida; Poales; Poaceae.